Nomascus leucogenys (northern white-cheeked gibbon) is the source of this 108-nucleotide unclassified non-coding RNA. It matches the Rfam family "Y RNA". From Rfam's summary of the family: Y RNAs are components of the Ro ribonucleoprotein particle (Ro RNP), in association with Ro60 and La proteins. The Y RNAs and Ro60 and La proteins are well conserved, but the function of the Ro RNP is not known. The record is from Ensembl. Lineage: Eukaryota; Metazoa; Chordata; Mammalia; Primates; Hylobatidae.
GGCUAUUCUGAAGGUAGUGAGUUACCUCAAUUGAUUGUUCGCAGUCAAAGAUUGAAAUCCUUGUUCUACUCUUUUCACCCUCUCACUACUGCACUUGACUAGUCUUAA